CGAACGAAAGUCGUUAUACUGAAAUUGAUAUGACCUGAAGAGCUUGCUCUGACGUGACUUGAAGAUAGAUUAUAACAAUGGCUUAGUGGCGGACUGGUGAGUAACACGUAAGCAACCUGCCUAUUAGAGGGGAAUAACAGUGAGAAAUCAUUGCUAAUACCGCAUAAGCUGAUAGAAUCGCAUGAUUUAGUCAGAAAAGGAGUAAUCCGCUAAUAGAUGGGCUUGCGUCUGAUUAGCUAGUUGGUUAGGUAACGGCUGACCAAGGCGACGAUCAGUAGCCGAGUUGAGAGACUCUACGGCCACAUUGGGACUGAGAUACGGCCCAGACUCCUACGGGAGGCAGCAGUCGGGAAUAUUGCGCAAUGGAGGAAACUCUGACGCAGUGACGCCGCGUAUAGGAAGAAGGUUUUCGGAUUGUAAACUAUUGUCGUUAGGGAAGAAAUGUGACAGUACCUAAGGAGGAAGCCCCGGCUAACUAUGUGCCAGCAGCGGC
This 493-nucleotide ribosomal RNA is filed under the name uncultured bacterium. RNAcentral's name for it is "bacterial SSU rRNA". It matches the Rfam family "Bacterial small subunit ribosomal RNA", at positions 63 to 518 of the family's 1533-position model. The record is from RNAcentral.